GUGCUUGCUUUGGCAGCACAUAUCUUAAAAUUGGAAUGAUACAGAGAAGAUCAGCAUGGCCCCUGUGCAAGGAUGCAUGCAAAUUCGUGAAACAUUUCAUAUAUAU
Molecule: small nuclear RNA, 106 nt
Organism: Phacochoerus africanus (Common warthog)
Lineage: Eukaryota; Metazoa; Chordata; Mammalia; Artiodactyla; Suidae
Source: RefSeq, a predicted model, not a curated record